AGUCGAACGGCAGCGCGGGGCAACCUGGCGGCGAGUGGCGAACGGGUGAGUAAUAUAUCGGAACGUACCCAAGAGUGGGGGAUAACGUAGCGAAAGUUACGCUAAUACCGCAUACGAUCUAAGGAUGAAAGUGGGGGAUUCGCAAGAACCUCAUGCUCCUGGAGCGGCCGAUAUCUGAUUAGCUAGUUGGUGAGGUAAAGGCUCACCAAGGCGACGAUCAGUAGCUGGUCUGAGAGGACGACCAGCCACACUGGAACUGAGACACGGUCCAGACUCCUACGGGAGGCAGCAGUGGGGAAUUUUGGACAAUGGGCGCAAGCCUGAUCCAGCAAUGCCGCGUGAGUGAAGAAGGCCUUCGGGUUGUAAAGCUCUUUUGUCAGGGAAGGAACGGUCGAGGCUAAUACCUUUGGCUAAUGACGGUACCUGAAGAAUAAGCACCGGCUAACUACGUGCCAGCAGCCGCGGUAAUACGUAGGGUGCAAGCGUUAAUCGGAAUUACUGGGCGUAAAGCGUGCGCAGGCGGUUUUGUAAGUCUGUCGUGAAAUCCCCGGGCUCAACCUGGGAAUUGCGAUGGAGACUGCAAGGCUAGAAUCUGGCAGAGGGGGGUAGAAUUCCACGUGUAGCAGUGAAAUGCGUAGAGAUGUGGAGGAACACCGAUGGCGAAGGCAGCCCCCUGGGUCAAGAUUGACGCUCAUGCACGAAAGCGUGGGGAGCAAACAGGAUUAGAUACCCUGGUAGUCCACGCCCUAAACGAUGUCUACUAGUUGUCGGGUCUUAAUUGACUUGGUAACGCAGCUAACGCGUGAAGUAGACCGCCUGGGGAGUACGGUCGCAAGAUUAAAACUCAAAGGAAUUGAC
Molecule: ribosomal RNA, 858 nt
Filed under: uncultured bacterium
Lineage: Bacteria
Description: bacterial SSU rRNA
Rfam family: Bacterial small subunit ribosomal RNA
Source: RNAcentral